Molecule: ribosomal RNA, 238 nt
Filed under: uncultured bacterium
Lineage: Bacteria
Description: partial 16S ribosomal RNA
Rfam family: Bacterial small subunit ribosomal RNA
Source: RNAcentral
GUCAUGGCUCAGGAUGAACGCUGGCGGCGUGCUUAACACAUGCAAGUCGAGCGAAGCACUUAGGAAAGAUUCUUCGGAUGAUUUCCUAAGUGACUGAGCGGCGGACGGGUGAAGGUAACGCGUGGGUAACCUGCCUCAUACAGGGGGAUAACAGUUAGAAAUGACUGCUAAUACCGCAUAAGGCCACAGCACCGCAUGGUGCAGGGGUAAAACUCCGGUGGUAUGAGAUGGACCCGCG